This 568-nucleotide long non-coding RNA is filed under the name Marmota monax (woodchuck). The record is from RNAcentral. Lineage: Eukaryota; Metazoa; Chordata; Mammalia; Rodentia; Sciuridae.
CCCCAAGUCACCCUUUGGUGUAACCAAUGUGUUAAGCAAAUUAUUUAAUUUCACUCAGAUUUAUAUUCCUCAUUUGUUAGAUGACAAUAACAAUAGGCACGAUGUUGUUCUAAGCAUUAAAUGAGAUCAAAUGAAGCACUUAAACUGCAUAACAUGCUAACUGCUCAGUAAGCAAUAAAUAUUUAUCUUCUAAUUUGAUUAGUGGCUGGAAAGAGACACCCAGGCAUCUCUUAACAUCACCAAGGUGGAAGACCAAGUGCCUGCAAGCUCAUUGUUGAGGUGUAUUAACUCCAUCCUAAGUCAAGGGUCCCAGUUGGCAGUACCCUACACAGAUGGAGCCUGAUCCUGUCAACCAAGCAUCCUGGCUUCCAAGGAAAAUCAAGAUGUUACUCAGCAGACAUUAUGAUUGAUGUAUGUAUAUAGGUGACUCUAUGACCAGUGUGAUUCUGCAAUCUGUACAAUUAGAAAAUGAGAAAUUAUACCCCAAUGAUACAAAUGUAUGAAUUGCCAAGAUCAUUGUAAUGUCAUGUGUAGAUAAUAAUAAUAAAAAAAAAGGUGUUACUUAGUG